Molecule: ribosomal RNA, 426 nt
Filed under: uncultured Azospira sp.
Lineage: Bacteria; Pseudomonadati; Pseudomonadota; Betaproteobacteria; Rhodocyclales; Rhodocyclaceae
Description: bacterial SSU rRNA
Rfam family: Bacterial small subunit ribosomal RNA
Source: RNAcentral
GGGGAAUAUUGGACAAAGGGCGAAAGCCUGAUCCAGCCAUGCCGCGUGUGUGAAGAAGGUCUUCGGAUUGUAAAGCACUUUAAGUUGGGAGGAAGGGCAGUAAGUUAAUACCUUGCUGUUUUGACGUUACCAACAGAAGAAGCACCGGCUAACUACGUGCCAGCAGCCGCGGUAAUACGUAGGGUGCGAGCGUUAAUCGGAAUUACUGGGCGUAAAGCGUGCGCAGGCGGUUUCGUAAGACAGACGUGAAAUCCCCGGGCUCAACCUGGGAACGGCGUUUGUGACUGCGAGGCUAGAGUACGGCAGAGGGGGGUAGAAUUCCACGUGUAGCAGUGAAAUGCGUAGAGAUGUGGAGGAAUACCGAUGGCGAAGGCAGCCCCCUGGGUUAGUAUUGACGCUCAUGCACGAAAGCGUGGGGAGCAAACA